GAUGAACGCUGGCGGCGUGCCUAAUACAUGCAAGUCGAGCGAACGGACGAGAAGCUUGCUUCUCUGAUGUUAGCGGCGGACGGGUGAGUAACACGUGGAUAACCUACCUAUAAGACUGGGAUAACUUCGGGAAACCGGAGCUAAUACCGGAUAAUAUUUUGAACCGCAUGGUUCAAAAGUGAAAGACGGUCUUGCUGUCACUUAUAGAUGGAUCCGCGCUGCAUUAGCUAGUUGGUAAGGUAACGGCUUACCACGGCAACGAUGCAUAGCCGGCCUGUGAGGUCGAGCGGCCACACUGGAGCUUAGCCACGGUCCGGGCUGCUACGGUAGGCAGCAGUAGGGAAUCUUCCGCAAUGGGCGAAAGCCUGACGGAGCAACGCCGCGUGAUUGAUGAAGGUCUUCGGAUCGUGAACCUCUGUUGUUAGGGAAGAACAUAUGUGUAAGUAACUGUGCACAUCUUGGCGGUACCUAAUCAGAAAGCCACGGCUAACUACGGG
RNAcentral lists this ribosomal RNA (497 nucleotides) under uncultured bacterium. RNAcentral's name for it is "partial 16S ribosomal RNA". It matches the Rfam family "Bacterial small subunit ribosomal RNA", at positions 28 to 507 of the family's 1533-position model. The record is from RNAcentral.